Molecule: ribosomal RNA, 494 nt
Filed under: uncultured marine bacterium
Lineage: Bacteria
Description: bacterial SSU rRNA
Rfam family: Bacterial small subunit ribosomal RNA
Source: RNAcentral
CUGCGGCAGGCCUAAUACAUGCAAGUCGAGGGGUAUGAUUUUGAGUUUACUUGAAAUCAGAGACCGGCGCACGGGUGCGUAACACGUAUGCAACCUACCCUUUACAGGGGGAUAGCUCAGAGAAAUCUGAAUUAAUACCCCAUAGUUACAUUUUGCUGCAUGGUAAGAUGUAUAAAGCUCCGGCGGUAAAGGAUGGGCAUGCGUUACAUUAGCUAGUUGGUGAGGUAAUGGCUCACCAAGGCUACGAUGUAUAGGGGUUCUGAGAGGAUGAUCCCCCACACUGGUACUAAGACACGGACCAGACUCCUACGGGAGGCAGCAGUAGGGAAUAUUGGACAAUGGACGCAAGUCUGAUCCAGCCAUGCCGCGUGCAGGAUGACAGCCCUCUGGGUUGUAAACUGCUUUUAUAUGAGAAGAAACCCUCAGAUGCGUUUGAGGCUGACGGUAUCAUAUGAAUAAGGAUCGGCUACUUCGUGCCAGCAGCCGCGGUAAGA